Molecule: ribosomal RNA, 253 nt
Filed under: uncultured bacterium
Lineage: Bacteria
Description: partial 16S ribosomal RNA
Rfam family: Bacterial small subunit ribosomal RNA
Source: RNAcentral
UACGGAGGGUGCGAGCGUUAAUCGGAAUCACUGGGCGUAAAGCGCGCGUAGGCGGCUUUUCAAGUCAGGGGUGAAAUCCCACGGCCCAACCGUGGAACUGCCUUUGAAACUGUAGAGCUUGAGUGUCGGAGAGGGUGGCGGAAUUCCAGGUGUAGGAGUGAAAUCCGUAGAUAUCUGGAGGAACACCGGUGGCGAAGGCGGCCACCUGGACGACAACUGACGCUGAGGUGCGAAAGCGUGAGUAGCAAACAGG